GAAGGUGUAGUUCCCAGAUACUACGGUAAUAGUCCCUCUAGAAAUGGAUUGAUAGAUUGCUCUGGAUAGAUUUGUACUGAUAAGGUUUGGCAAAGGAAAUCUCACUCAGGCCUCCCUUCUCCCCUCAUCAUCAGUGCUGUCAAAAGGAAGCCGCUUUUGGGUAUGGACUCCUGAGUGUUGCAACAAGAGAUAUAAACCCACUUAUCGCUCUGGAGAGACUAUAGUCUGCCACUACCAAAUAAGUCUCUUGCAAAAGAUGGGCAACACUGGUCCUCACCUUGCUUAUCUGGAGAUGUCAGCAAACCUUGUCUAACAAUCGUCAUUCAAGUUCCUUCUCCUGAUCACUGCAGAUAUAGUUGGGUGGGCUGAAUUGCAACACUACAUUUCAUCAGUG
This is a long non-coding RNA of Mauremys mutica (yellowpond turtle), 394 nucleotides long. RefSeq lists it as uncharacterized. The record is from RefSeq and is a predicted model, not a curated record. The transcript has 4 exons. NCBI's taxonomy places the organism in Eukaryota, Metazoa, Chordata, Testudines, Geoemydidae.